GGGCCUACUUACCAGGCACUCAUCUGUGAAGUUAGCUGGAGCAAAGCCACGGAUUCAUCACACUCGGGGUAAAGCAGCCCCAAUGUCAUCAGAGAAGGCAAUGGCACCCCACUCCAGUCCUCUUGCCUGGAAAAUCCCAUGGACUGAGGAGCCUGAUUCCUCCUGGUGGGCACAGAUGAAGGUGCCAUGGGAACCAUGCCCUGAAUGAGGCGGGACCCCUGAUGCUGAGUGCAAGUUUGGCCUUCAGUGCCCGUCCUCGCGCCCUGUUUUCCCUUGGAGAGUGGGCUGCAGAGACCUGAACAUGACAGGCCCCAUCCCAGUUCUGUGAUGACCACAAGGCCACCCCGAGCAGGUCUCCAACCAGCUUGGAUGCUGAGGGAGCUGAAGGUAGCUGCAUGGCUGGCUCCUUCCUGUGGCCUCAGGUCAGGCUCCUGUGCUGAGGGAGGCUGUGGGUGCCCAGAUGCUGCCUCCCACCUGGGACAGGACAGGACUUGGCUGAUCCAGGGAAACUCUGCUCCUUCUGGUCUCCCCUGGAAACUUCUGCCCAGCAGGGCUGCCCUCUGCCGCCACUCUGGCCUUGGCCCUCACAUCUGCCAGGAAAGCGCCUGGACUCAGAGAAACCUGGAUUCUGAAUGCAGCCCCUGCCGGGUCUUGCAUGGUUCAUUUCUGAGAUCUUCAGCCUCAGCCUUCUCCUCCCCCUCCUCUGUGUCUUGAGGCCCAGGGACAGUCUGAGAGCGGGGUAGAGAGCUGACAGGGCAAGAAGCCCGAAGAACCAGCAUUUACCAGAUGCCGCUCAUUAAAUGCUGACUUCAAAGGCCAGCUGGGCCACCUGCUGGCUGUGUGCUCUUGGGCAAGUUUAACUAACCUCGUUGUGCCUCUGUUCUCCUCCCCAGAGGGUGAUAAUAGGGGAACUGACUCCACUAAUGAAAUGUGCUGUGGUCGGUUGGGGACGGGGUCUCUACUGAUCUCCAUGCAAAGACCCUGGGGAGCAUUGGGGGUUCUGGGUGAGCUUCACUCCUCAUUGCACCUUGCUGCUGGGAGAGACUUGGACCAGGAUGACUUCUCAGAGCUCGGCCACCGCUGUAC
Long non-coding RNA from Bos taurus (domestic cattle), 1086 nucleotides. NCBI's taxonomy places the organism in Eukaryota, Metazoa, Chordata, Mammalia, Artiodactyla, Bovidae. The record is from Ensembl.